CAAAGAAUAUUAGUCAAUGCUCGCAAGAGUGAACUAGCUAACUGAAAUCACAGGAUCCACUACGUGUGGAGAAUGUUAUAACGUAAGGGAAAAAAAUGAUAUUACCUUACUAUUAGUGUUGUCCAAAACUGGUGCCAGAAGACUCGGUAAGGCCAGAGACGCAAACGUUAGUCGUCCUAAUCAGGCGUAAAGGGUAUGUAGGCUGCUUUAAAAGUUUAGUUUUAUAUUUUAAUAGCUCUGUUUAAAUUUUAUUUUGAAUUUUAACAGUAAAAUAUACAAUGAAUUAAAGCUAGGAUCAAAUUGAGGAUAAUUUAAAUAAUACUUAGUGGAGGGUUUACAUCUGUUGAUAUUAAGGGGAGUACUAACGGUGAAAGCUUUUUAUCUAGAAAUGAUUGACGCUGAGAAACGAAGGUGAGAAUAGGAAAUAGGAUUAGAUACCCAGAUACCUCUCACAGUCAACGAUGAAUGGUGGUUGUUAGUUAGUUUUAUUUAACUGAUAACGAUGUUAACACGAUAACCAUUCCGCCUUGCGAGUACGGUUGCAAAACUGAAACCAAAAAAAUUAGUCGGUCUCGAAGCAAACGAAGUGAAGCAUGUUAUUUAAUU
This 606-nucleotide ribosomal RNA is filed under the name Entoloma hirtipes. RNAcentral describes it as "partial small subunit ribosomal RNA". It matches the Rfam family "Bacterial small subunit ribosomal RNA", at positions 355 to 951 of the family's 1533-position model. The record is from RNAcentral. Lineage: Eukaryota; Fungi; Basidiomycota; Agaricomycetes; Agaricales; Entolomataceae.